CCUACGGGAGGCAGCAGUGGGGAAUAUUGCACAAUGGGGGAAACCCUGAUGCAGCGACGCCGCGUGAAGGAAGAAGUAUUUCGGUAUGUAAACUUCUAUCAGCAGGGAAGAAAAUGACGGUACCUGACUAAGAAGCCCCGGCUAACUACGUGCCAGCAGCCGCGGUAAUACGGAGGGGGCAAGCGUUAUCCGGAUGUACUGGGUGUAAAGGGAGCGUAGGCGGCGAUGCAAGUCAGAAGUGAAAGCCCGGGGCUAAACGCCGGGACUGCUUUUGAAACUGUAUGGCUAGAUUGCAGGAGAGGCAAGUGGAAUUCCUAGGGUAGCGGUGAAAUGCGUAGAUAUUAGGAGGAACACCAGUGGCGAAGGCGGCUUGCUGGACUGUAACUGACGUUGAGGCUCGAAAGCGUGGGGAGCAAACAGGAUUAGAUACCCUUGUAGUC
Molecule: ribosomal RNA, 440 nt
Filed under: uncultured bacterium
Lineage: Bacteria
Description: partial 16S ribosomal RNA
Rfam family: Bacterial small subunit ribosomal RNA
Source: RNAcentral